Molecule: ribosomal RNA, 303 nt
Filed under: uncultured bacterium
Lineage: Bacteria
Description: partial 16S ribosomal RNA
Rfam family: Bacterial small subunit ribosomal RNA
Source: RNAcentral
AGCAGUCGCCGCGGGAAUACGAAGGGGGCUAGCGUUGUUCGGAAUUACUGGGCGUAAAGGGCGCGUAGGCGGCCAUUCAAGUUAGAUGUGAAAGCCCUGGGCUCAACCUAGGAAUUGCAUUUGAUACUGUUUGGCUUGAGUUCGGGAGAGGUGAGUGGAAUUCCCAGUGUAGAGGUGAAAUUCGUAGAUAUUGGGAAGAACACCAGUGGCGAAGGCGGCUCACUGGACCGACACUGACGCUGAGGCGCGAAAGCGUGGGGAGCAAACAGGAUUAGAUACCCCAGUAGUCCCUGUCUCUUAUAC